AUCAACGCUGGCGGCGUGCCUAACACAUGCAAGUCGCACGAGAAAGGGUAGCAAUACCUGAGUAAAGUGGCGCACGGGUGAGUAACACGUGACUAACCUACCUCCGAGUGGGGAAUAACUUCGGGAAACCGAGGCUAAUACCGCAUAACACUUACGAGUCAAAGCAGCAAUGCGCUUGGAGAGGGGGUCGCGGCAGAUUAGCUAGUUGGCGGGGUAAUGGCCCACCAAGGCGAUGAUCUGUAUCCGGCCUGAGAGGGCGCACGGACACACUGGAACUGAAACACGGUCCAGACUCCUACGGGAGGCAGCAGUGGGGAAUUUUGCGCAAUGGGGGAAACCCUGACGCAGCAACGCCGCGUGGAGGAUGAAGUCUCUUGGGACGUAAACUCCUUCGAUCGGACGA
RNAcentral lists this ribosomal RNA (403 nucleotides) under uncultured Acidobacteriota bacterium. RNAcentral describes it as "bacterial SSU rRNA". It matches the Rfam family "Bacterial small subunit ribosomal RNA", at positions 32 to 446 of the family's 1533-position model. Lineage: Bacteria; Pseudomonadati; Acidobacteriota. The record is from RNAcentral.